This 253-nucleotide ribosomal RNA is filed under the name uncultured bacterium. RNAcentral describes it as "partial 16S ribosomal RNA". It matches the Rfam family "Bacterial small subunit ribosomal RNA", at positions 524 to 776 of the family's 1533-position model. The record is from RNAcentral.
UACAGAGGUCUCAAGCGUUGUUCGGAUUCAUUGGGCGUAAAGGGCUCGUAGGCGGUCUGUUGCGUCAGGAGUGAAAACUCGGGGCUUAACCCCGAGCCUGCUUCUGAUACGGGCAGACUAGAGGUAUGCAGGGGAGAACGGAAUUCCUGGUGUAGCGGUGAAAUGCGCAGAUAUCAGGAGGAACACCGGUGGCGAAGGCGGCAUCCUGGACCAACACUGACGCUGAGGAGCGAAAGCCAGGGGAGCAAACGGG